Molecule: ribosomal RNA, 461 nt
Filed under: uncultured bacterium
Lineage: Bacteria
Description: partial 16S ribosomal RNA
Rfam family: Bacterial small subunit ribosomal RNA
Source: RNAcentral
CCUACGGGUGGCAGCAGUGAGGAAUAUUGGUCAAUGGGCUUACGCCUGAACCAGCCAAGUCGCGUGAGGGAAGACUGCCCUAUGGGUUGUAAACCUCUUUUGUCAGGGAGCAACGCCGGCUACGUGUAGCCGGACUGAGAGUACCUGAAGAAAAAGCAUCGGCUAACUCCGUGCCAGCAGCCGCGGUAAUACGGAGGAUGCUAGCGUUAUCCGGAUUUAUUGGGUUUAAAGGGUGCGUAGGCGGCAAGGUAAGUCUGAUGGUAAAGCCCGGGGCUCAACUCCGGUUCGGCAUUGGAUACUAUCUAGCUAGAAUGUGGUAGAGGUAAAGGGAAGUCCUGGUGUAGCGGUGAAAUGCGUAGAUAUCAGGAGGAACAUCGGUGGCGAAAGCGCUUUACUGGACCAUUAUUGACGCUGAGGAACGAAAGCCAGGGGAGCAAAUGGGAUUAGAUACCCCAGUAGUC